Molecule: ribosomal RNA, 248 nt
Filed under: uncultured bacterium
Lineage: Bacteria
Description: partial 16S ribosomal RNA
Rfam family: Bacterial small subunit ribosomal RNA
Source: RNAcentral
UACAGAGGGGGCAAGCGUUGUUCGGAAUUACUGGGCGUAAAGGGCGCGUAGGCGGCCUGCUAAGUCGAACGUGAAAUCCCUGGGCUCAACCCAGGAACUGCGUCCGAUACUGGUUGGCUUGAAUCCGGGAGAGGGAUGUGGAAUUCCAGGUGUAGCGGUGAAAUGCGUAGAUAUCUGGAGGAACACCGGUGGCGAAGGCGACAUCCUGGACCGGCAUUGACGCUGAGGCGCGAAAGCCAGGGGAGCAA